UGGGGGGUCGUCUAGCUAGCAGGACACCAGGUUUUGGUCCUGGGAACGGGGGUGCAAAUCCCUCCCCCCCAG
This 72-nucleotide transfer RNA is filed under the name Thermoleophilaceae bacterium. RNAcentral describes it as "tRNA-Gln". It matches the Rfam family "tRNA". Rfam says of the family: Transfer RNA (tRNA) molecules are approximately 80 nucleotides in length. Their secondary structure includes four short double-helical elements and three loops (D, anti-codon, and T loops). Further hydrogen bonds mediate the characteristic L-shaped molecular structure. tRNAs have two regions of fundamental functional importance: the anti-codon, which is responsible for specific mRNA codon recognition, and the 3' end, to which the tRNAs corresponding amino acid is attached (by aminoacyl-tRNA synthetases). tRNAs cope with the degeneracy of the genetic code in two manners: having more than one tRNA (with a specific anti-codon) for a particular amino acid; and 'wobble' base-pairing, i.e. permitting non-standard base-pairing at the 3rd anti-codon position. Lineage: Bacteria; Bacillati; Actinomycetota; Thermoleophilia; Thermoleophilales; Thermoleophilaceae. The record is from RNAcentral.